Molecule: ribosomal RNA, 253 nt
Filed under: uncultured bacterium
Lineage: Bacteria
Description: partial 16S ribosomal RNA
Rfam family: Bacterial small subunit ribosomal RNA
Source: RNAcentral
GACGUAGGGCGCGAGCGUUGUCCGGAUUUAUUGGGCGUAAAGAGCUCGUAGGCGGCUUGUUGCGUCGACCGUGAAAACCCGGGGCUCAACUUCGGGCUUGCGGUCGAUACGGGCGGGCUAGAGUUCGGUAGGGGAGACUGGAAUUCCUGGUGUAGCGGUGAAAUGCGUAGAUAUCAGGAGGAACACCGGUGGCGAAGGCGGGUCUCUGGGCCGGAACUGACACUGAGGAGCGAAAGCGUGGGUAGCAAACAGG